AACCAAGUACUGUAAAAAAUAAAUAAAAAAGCUAUUGAUAAUUGAUCAAUGAAUGAGCCAAGUUCACAAUUCAUUUGCUUUCCAUGGGCAGUUUCUGAUGGACUGGAGAGCGACAUUUAACAAGAUACCUCAAAUAAGAAAGUUACACAACUAACACUUUUCUCAAUAGUGUAAAAAAAAAUUACUUACCUUUUAUAGUUGCUGAUGAGGACCGAGGAGGCGAGGACUGAGAACUGAGAAAGACUGAGGACUGAGGAAGACAGAGGAUUGAGGACAACCAAGUUGCUGACAGCGUUGAGAGCCGAUGGACUGGAGAGCGACGGCCGAAGAUUGCGUGGAGAGCGACGACCGACGAUUGUGUGGAGACUGGAGAGAGAGAAUAGAGAGCUACAGUGAGGUGAGGAGGAGUCGGCGACU
Molecule: long non-coding RNA, 417 nt
Filed under: Manihot esculenta (cassava)
Lineage: Eukaryota; Viridiplantae; Streptophyta; Magnoliopsida; Malpighiales; Euphorbiaceae
Description: long non-coding RNA (MESC_LNC010275)
Source: RNAcentral